CCCUCGUGAGGGUGCCUGACGGUACUGUAGGAAUAAGCACCGGCUAACUCCGUGCCAGCAGCCGCGGUAAUACGGAGGGUGCGAGCGUUAUCCGGAUUUAUUGGGUUUAAAGGGUCCGUAGGCGGAUUAAUAAGUCAGUGGUGAAAUCCCAUCGCUUAACGAUGGAACUGCCAUUGAUACUGUUAGUCUUGAAUGAGGGUGCAGUGGUUGGAAUGUGUAGUGUAGCGGUGAAAUGCAUAGAUAUUACACAGAACACCGAUUGCGAAGGCAGAUCACUAACCCUAAAUUGACGCUGAGGGACGAAAGCGUGGGGAGCGAACAGGAUUAGAUACCCUGGUAG
RNAcentral lists this ribosomal RNA (340 nucleotides) under uncultured bacterium. RNAcentral describes it as "bacterial SSU rRNA". It matches the Rfam family "Bacterial small subunit ribosomal RNA", at positions 455 to 793 of the family's 1533-position model. The record is from RNAcentral.